CCUACGGGUGGCAGCAGUGAGGAAUAUUGGUCAAUGGGCGGGAGCCUGAACCAGCCAAGCCGCGUGAAGGAAGAAGGCGCCAAGCGUCGUAAACUUCUUUUGUCGGGGAACAAAGGGCGCCACGUGUGGCGUUGUGAGUGUACCCGAAGAAAAAGCAUCGGCUAACUCCGUGCCAGCAGCCGCGGUAAUACGGAGGGUGCGAGCGUUAAUCGGAAUUACUGGGCGUAAAGCGCUCGUAGGCGGUAUGUCAAGUCAAGGGUGAAAUCCCCGCGCUCAACGUGGGAACUGCCUUUGAAACUGGCAAACUGGAGUGUGUGAGAGGAUAGUGGAAUUCCAGGUGUAGGAGUGAAAUCCGUAGAUAUCUGGAGGAACAUCAGUGGCGAAGGCGACUAUCUGGCACAUAACUGACGCUGAGGAGCGAAAGCGUGGGUAGCAAACAGGAUUAGAUACCCUAGUAGUC
Molecule: ribosomal RNA, 460 nt
Filed under: uncultured bacterium
Lineage: Bacteria
Description: partial 16S ribosomal RNA
Rfam family: Bacterial small subunit ribosomal RNA
Source: RNAcentral